UUUGAGUUUGAGCACAACUAUUUGAGCAAGCGUUCAACCUGUCUCAAGUUGUAAAGCAGUACUCAAACAUGGCCGCUUUUGAUGAACGCAUUCAACGUUUACGAGGAUAUUAGCCGAUUUAACGCGUUUUUGAGGUAAGCAGCAACCCUUAAGAAAAAGUAAGCGAUAUAUAUCGAUUUCACCCGGAAAAUAUUUAUAUAUUUCAUUGUUGGAUGCUGAUUUAUAAAUUGGACACACCGAGUCGUCGUUCAUUGCCGAUGCAAUAUUUGCUGUCAGUUUUGAUAGUAAAUAGGGCAAAGAAACCUUUGUUUGACACCUUUAUCAUUGCUAAAUUUCAUUGAUUUUCAAAGGCAAAUACGUAGAAUUUAACCCCAAAACGUAUAGAGUAGUUCCCCUUUGUUGACAUAGCAUUUGACAACACGUGCCUUGGUUUUAGCAUAACAUUUUAACGAUGAAUGUUUUAAUACUGUAUAAAUGAAAUCUUACGAUAAUAAGUAAGUUUAAUCUAAAAUUCUGGUGUUUCUUAAUACAUUAUUUAUGUUUACUCAAUCUUUUGUUGCCAGCGUGUAUUUAUCGAUGUAAAUAAAUGAAGACUGAUAUACCCAACCCGCUUAUGACUGUUGAGCAUAUAAUACUUCAGGUUACAGUAUACUAAAUACUUUUGGUGUUCAAUGCUAUACCCUCUAAAAACAAAAUCGCCAUUUAUUUGAAGACACAAUUCUCUUUAUGGGCACUUGCCAUGACUUAAUUAUUGAACAUGUCUGUGUGCAUGUGGUAAGGAAAACAUUGCUGCAUACUAAUUACUAGAAAUUCACUGUUUUGCUUUAGGUUGGAGACAGUAUAGUACCAGAAAGGCCGUUUACCAAAAGGCGUUGGCGGGAAAUCAUCAUCAACUGGAGAUAUAAAACCGAUUAUCACCCUCAUACAUUUAAUUUUGAUGAAGAAAUUGUUCAGCAUGUUGGAAGAAAUUUCACGCAGAAUCGACUUGAAGAGCACGACGAUUCGAGACGCACUUAUGAAGGACUCAGUUUAAAACCGAUACAAAUGUUUCAUGAAGAAAUCAUAUAUAGACGGGAAAUUGUUGGAGACAGUAUAGUACCAGAAAGGCCGUUUACCAAAAGGCGUUGGCGGAAAACCAUCAUCAACUGGAGAUAUAAAACCGAUUUCCACAAGAACCAGCUUUUAUGCAUUUGAAAUGUAGUUGGAGCAGUAGACGGGACUGUAAUUCUAAUUAUAAAACCAGCUGAAUCUGAAGAAGCUGAUGUGUGCAGGAAAGGGUUUAUUAACAUUACUGAGCGGCUGUCAUUGAUGCCAACAUGAGAUGCCUGCAUUGCACUGGUGGAUGCCUGACUUUCCAAGCCAAAUGAGUGCUGUAGAACAGCAAAAAUUUGCAUUCGCCUGCUCAACCUGUGCUUGGAAUUAUUCAUUCCGCUGAUAGAGAUAGAAGUUUUGGACAUGAUGGAUCCAGCGGUUACAAACAACGCACCAGUAAAGAGAGCAGUAGUCAAUAAGAGGCAUCAGCUGAUCGAACUGUUCAGUUGAAAAUGUCGUCAAGUGAUUGCUAUAUAUAGGAUCUGGCACGAGUUGCCAUAUCAUACCAUAUUUUAUUAAACUCGUCCAGGAAUUGUGUUAGUAAGCUUGCCUUUUAUGAAAUGCCAACAAGUGUCAUAUCUUUUUUAUCACAUGUGUUUAAAUGAGCAAAUAAAUAUUUACGCAAACAUAAUGAUAAAUCCCGAAUGUUGUUUACAUUUCGUGACGUCAUUUGAUGUUGCAACGGCAUUUCAGCAAAAUAACAAAAUGCGAUUGGUCAAUCAAACGAAAUCUAAGCCGAUGAAAACGCUAAAAAAGUAUAUAACACAUGUGUAAGAUAAAAAUAU
Molecule: long non-coding RNA, 1877 nt
Organism: Dreissena polymorpha
Lineage: Eukaryota; Metazoa; Mollusca; Bivalvia; Myida; Dreissenidae
Exons: 5
Source: RefSeq, a predicted model, not a curated record